This 72-nucleotide transfer RNA is filed under the name Bos taurus (domestic cattle). Its description in RNAcentral is "tdbR00000125". The record is from RNAcentral. Lineage: Eukaryota; Metazoa; Chordata; Mammalia; Artiodactyla; Bovidae.
AUUCUUUUAGUAUUAACUAGUACAGCUGACUUCCAAUCAGCUAGUUUCGGUCUAGUCCGAAAAAGAAUACCA